GAGUUUGAUCCUGGCUCAGAUUGAACGCUGGCGGCAGGCCUAACACAUGCAAGUCGAGCGGUAGAGAGAAGCUUGCUUCUCUUGAGAGCGGCGGACGGGUGAGUAAUGCCUAGGAAUCUGCCUGGUAGUGGGGGAUAACGCUCGGAAACGGACGCUAAUACCGCAUACGUCCUACGGGAGAAAGCAGGGGACCUUCGGGCCUUGCGCUAUCAGAUGAGCCUAGGUCGGAUUAGCUAGUUGGUGAGGUAAUGGCUCACCAAGGCGACGAUCCGUAACUGGUCUGAGAGGAUGAUCAGUCACACUGGAACUGAGACACGGUCCAGACUCCUACGGAGGCAGCAGUGGGGAAUAGUUGGACAAUGGGCGAAAGCCUGAUCCAGCCAUGCCGCGUGUGUGAA
Molecule: ribosomal RNA, 398 nt
Filed under: uncultured bacterium
Lineage: Bacteria
Description: bacterial SSU rRNA
Rfam family: Bacterial small subunit ribosomal RNA
Source: RNAcentral